AUGGCUCUGCCGGCUCGCCGUCGUGGCGCAGUAGCGGUGGCGCUGGUGGCGUUGAUGGCGGCAGUUGGUCUGGCGGGCGCGGACUUCGCGUCGGACAGCAAGAUGUGCGCGGAGAAGCUGGCUGUACUGGCGACGUGCUUGCCCGUCGUGGACGCGACGGCGACGGCGCAUGCGCCGACGCCGGACUGCUGCUCCGGGCUCCGGGAAGUUCUGGGUGACAGCAAGAAGUGCCUGUGCGUGCUGAUCAAGGACCGCGACGACCCGGCCAUCGGGAUCAAGGUCAACGUCACCCGCGCCAUGGACCUCCCCUCCGCCUGCUCCGUCCCCGCCGUCCUCUCCGACUGCCCCAAGCUUCUUCACAUCUCGCCGGACUCCAAGGAGGCGGAGAUCUUCAAGCAGUACGCGAUUCACGAGGGCAAGAACGCCACCGCCGGGACCGCCGGCGGCAAGCACACCGAUGCGGUGUCCGGUGAAGGGAGGCACACGGCGGUUGUCUUCGCCGUCGUCGUGUCGGGGCUGCUCACCUCCAUCUUUGUUCUCGCCUGA
Molecule: ribosomal RNA, 546 nt
Filed under: Triticum aestivum (bread wheat)
Lineage: Eukaryota; Viridiplantae; Streptophyta; Magnoliopsida; Poales; Poaceae
Description: partial small subunit ribosomal RNA
Source: RNAcentral